UUUAUGUCAUGAAUAUGUCAUAUUUUAAAAAUCAAUCAAAAUUAAAUUUUUUAUGUUUUCAUCAAAAGAAAAAAAGAGUACAGAUCACAAUUAUUUUAAAACGACCACAUUAUUGAAAAUAACUUAAUGUAACAUUUUAAAAUAAAGAUCAAAUUGUGUGCAUAAUUCGGCUAGAUCACCCCUUCGUGGUGCACCCAGGGGAAUGUAGCUUGUUUCAACUGGUACGGACAUAUUACAAUGAACUGAAAGCACUCUGAACAUUAUCCAGGUAUCAUAAUUUUAGGACGCACUCGGAAGAUCCCCCGUAGGACGAUCUCCGAAUACAACUACAAUGAUUGUGGGAAAACGGUAUAGUAAUGAAUAUUUCCCUACGGUAAUAACCGUGACCACGGUAAUGUGGCGUGUAUAAUAUACCAUCAGGUACGAGGCGAGUGCGUGCCAUGCAACUAUCAAAUGAAAAUAGAUGGCUUCUAAUGGAUCACAUAUUGCAGGACGAUUGGUUUGUAUGUCGCGAUAUAAAAAUAUAUACUUUUCCCGAAUGAACUCGAUAAAUGCAAACGUAGUUCGUCUGGAGGGAAUACAAUUAUAUAAUAUUAUAUUAUGUAUAUUAUCAUAAAAGGAUCGAUGAUAACGAUUAAUACUAUAUAUAUUAUUAAAAAAAACGAAAUUCGGGUGGUGGACGCGCGGGUCGCCAACAAAAAACAAAAACUGAAAAAAAAAACGUUUAAUCGCAAACGCACCAGUUAUCGAAAGAGACAGCUGCUAGAGAAAAACGCGUUGAUCGAAUUUUUUUCUAUGCGUUUUUCCCGUUCGGUUCCAAAAGUCGUUCGGUAUAAUACUAUUAAAAGGAAAGUUAUUAUAAUUAUUCAGUCGUUCAGUUUUUCAAACAAGAAAUUCCGUCUUAAACCAUCUGUAAGUGAAUUAGCUUCUAUAUUUGUAUUUUAUGUAUUAAGUAAUUAUGAUGGUUUUUAGACGAUAAAAACUAUGUACCUACGUUAUUAUUCACGAACGCUUGGCCACGUUUUAUAUUAUGAUACUAUGUUACCAUUAACUUGAGCGAAAAAUAAAUAUAAAAUUUAGGAUAGAGGAAACGAAAAAAUGUGUACUUUAAUCUUCUUAAUAUGUUGAAUUAUAUAUGGUUUAGAAACUUGAGAGCAAACAAUUAAUAUUUUAUUUUUUCAUUUAUAUUAUUAUAUUUAUAUCCCAUAAACAUUGUCUGUACAGCUUACCGAUGAAAGGUUUAUCCGAGCCAACUACUUCGUUUCUAGUAGAUACAUCACACACACAAAAAAAAAUAAAAUAAAAUACGGGCGCAUUGGAUUUUCGCAGAGUAUUUGAUAUUUUCUCAUUGAGCGCUUCGAACCCUUUGAAUACGUUCCAUCAUCGUUAGAUAAUCGAUUUUCAUUCGCAGAUAACUUAAAAGCAUUUAUUUGAUGGAAAUUACUGUGCGUCGUCAUAAAGGAACGCAGCCGCCGCGUGUAUGGAAUAACGUUUUUACGUAUUCUGUCGAUGAUAAUAUCGCCGUCUCUCUUUCCUGAGGGAACCAAAGGGUUCUCUUAGCUAUGCAAACAUAUAAAUAAUAAUAAUACAAAAAAAAAACAUGAGGUUGUGUAGUGUGUACA
RNAcentral lists this long non-coding RNA (1622 nucleotides) under Acyrthosiphon pisum (pea aphid). RNAcentral's name for it is "uncharacterized LOC115033835". The record is from RNAcentral. Lineage: Eukaryota; Metazoa; Arthropoda; Insecta; Hemiptera; Aphididae.